Molecule: long non-coding RNA, 324 nt
Filed under: Lytechinus variegatus (green sea urchin)
Lineage: Eukaryota; Metazoa; Echinodermata; Echinoidea; Temnopleuroida; Toxopneustidae
Description: uncharacterized LOC121430653, transcript variant X1
Source: RNAcentral
AUGUGCAAGCUCGCCGUGUCAGAAUGGAGGGACUUGUCAGGAUUCCGUCAAUGGGUACAACUGCUCUUGUAUCACAGGCUACAAUGGACCACAUUGCCAAACAGAGGUACCUGGAUGCACCAAUUCAACCUGCAUCAACGGGCAAUGCAUCGAGGGGAUAGCGGGAUCAGUUUGUGACUGUGAACCUGGUUGGACUGGAGGAAACUGCGAUGAUGAUAUCGACGAAUGUGAGGUUUGGCCGCGUCCUUGCCUCAACGAUGGAGUGUGUCUUGAUGACCGGAACGGUUUCAUCUGCAUCUGUGCUCCGGAAUUCACGGGGGACAG